This 187-nucleotide ribosomal RNA is filed under the name uncultured Bacillota bacterium. RNAcentral describes it as "uncultured Firmicutes bacterium partial 16S ribosomal RNA". It matches the Rfam family "Bacterial small subunit ribosomal RNA", at positions 344 to 522 of the family's 1533-position model. The record is from RNAcentral. Lineage: Bacteria; Bacillati; Bacillota.
GGAGGCAGCAGUAGGGAAUCUUCCGCAAUGGACGAAAGUCUGACGGAGCGACGCCGCGUGAGCGAAGAAGGUCUUCGGAUCGUAAAGCUCUGUUGUUAGGGAAGAAGAAGUACCGUUCGAAUAGGGCGGUACGGUGACGGUACCUAACGAGAAAGCCCCGGCUAACUACGUGCCAGCAGCUGCGGUA